This 118-nucleotide ribosomal RNA is filed under the name Oryza sativa Indica Group (long-grained rice). The record is from RNAcentral. RNAcentral also lists the same sequence under 1 other name. Lineage: Eukaryota; Viridiplantae; Streptophyta; Magnoliopsida; Poales; Poaceae.
GGAUGCGAUCAUACCAGCACUAAGCACCGGAUCCCAUCAGAACUCCGAAGUUAAGCGUGCUUGGGCGAGAGUAGUACUAGGAUGGGUGACCUCCUGGGAAGUCCUCGUGUUGCAUCCC